Molecule: RNA transcript, 1515 nt
Organism: Rhea pennata
Lineage: Eukaryota; Metazoa; Chordata; Aves; Rheiformes; Rheidae
Exons: 6
Source: RefSeq, a predicted model, not a curated record
UGAGCAAUUUGGGCUACGUGAUGUCGUUUUCAGCAUGUUCCUGACCAGAAUACGCUGACCGAGCUGGAGAUGGGAUUCUCGGCCAAGCAGGAGAGCAAGAAGGGGCAAAAGCUGGGAGGCCCUGGGCCGAUUCAGAUGCAAGAGCUGUGACGACACUUGGGCAGAUGAGGUCUGAUAAGUGGUCUGAAACGAAUGCCAUCUGGGUGCUGGCAGUGCAGCUGCCCGUGGAGCCGGGAGUCGGGAGCGAGGAAAUGUGUGCGCUUAACAAAUGCUCCAUGUCACAAGCAGAAACCCGAGGAAAGCAGCGUCCCACGCCCAGGGCAGAUCCCCGCCGGCCAGGAGAUGGCCAGCACGGCGCCAGGCCCCGAGCCGGGCUGCGGAGCCGCCGGUGCGACGCUGGCUGCGGGCAGGCUCGGGAAAUCUGGGUCAGAUGGAGCACAAUUGGCUACAGAAAAGGUUGUUUACCUCAGCGGUGCCUGCAGCAGCCGUAAUAAUAUAUGUAAGGAUCAACCCCCUGAUCAGAAGUCAACCUCUCGCCAAGCAAGGUGAUAGGAAGUGACUCGAGGCAACACGGGCUCCCAACCCGCUUGUCCUGCAUCCCAGCUGGAGCCAGGCUGCUGUGAGAUACCACGGAGCAGAGGUGCUCAGCAGCACUGAAGGAACCAGCAGGUCUUGCUCUGGACAAGGAUGUGGAAGCAGGUCCAGGCGCUCUGCAAACCCGGGCUGGUGUUUGCUUUGUCUAGGAAGCAAACUCGUGCCCUGCCCGGUGGAAGGAGCCGGACGCGCAGCGAGGCUGCCCCACCGCCGAGACUGCGAGAGCUUGGGAGGCGGACCCGACCGGUGACAGGGUGGCUUCUCCGGCUAGCAGCUCUGUGCCGGUCCGGGAGAGCCGUCGCGCCUCGGGCAGAGCCCGCAGCCGCCUGCCCGCCGUCGGCACUGCCAGAGCAAUCUCCACCAGCGACAGGGCCACCGUGCAGCUCCCUGUCUGUCUGUCCUACGCGUUUGUCUGCCGUCCGCCAGGACCCUUCUUUCCCGAUUCCUUGUGCUCCCGGGCGCGCGCCGUGUUGUGCAGCUGCAGCAGCCUCCCGCCCCGGCAGCGUUCCCGGGCGGACGACGCCUCUCCUCCGUGCUCGGCUGGGCUGGAGGGUGAGCGGCAGCUUUCCCUCCCGGAGCAGCAGGCUGCUGUUCAGCCCCUCGCUGAGAAACUCACUUAGAAACUGGAAUUAUUUUUGGUGGAUAUUGUAGUAAUGGAGAAUAACUGGGAGACUGAUAGUAACUGUCCUAACGUUGUCAAACAUUGUAAUAAGUAGCUGUGUAUUCCAGAUCUAAAAGCGUAUUUUUCUUCCUUAUUCUGCUUAACAAAUAUUUGUUGCUGAUAAUCAUUCAUUUUGUGGAAGACAGUGAGAUAAAACAGUAUGAAAAAGAAUGAAACAACAUUGUGUGGUCCAGAGGCAUUAAGAAACAGCGAGACUGGGGGAAGAGUUAUCAGUGCACCAUAUGCAGCUGGAAACAAUA